GAUGAACGCUAGCGGCAGGCUUAACACAUGCAAGUCGAGGGGUAACAUUGGUGCUUGCAUCAGAUGACGACCGGCGCACGGGUGCGUAACGCGUAUAGAACUUACCUUUUACAGGGGGAUAGCCUUUAGAAAUGAAGAUUAAUAUCCCAUAGUAUUGAGAACUGGCAUCGGUUUUUAAUUAAAGAUUUAUCGGUAAAAGAUGGCUAUGCGUCCUAUUAGCUAGAUGGUAAGGUAAUGGCUUACCAUGGCAACGAUAGGUAGGGGCCCUGAGAGGGGGAUCCCCCACACUGGUACUGAGACACGGACCAGACUCCUACGGGAGGCAGCAGUGAGGAAUAUUGGGCAAUGGAGGCAACUCUGACCCAGCCAUGCCGCGUGCAGGAAGACUGCCCUAUGGGUUGUAAACUGCUUUUAUACAGGAAGAAACACUCGUACGUGUACGAGCUUGACGGUACUGUAAGAAUAAGGACCGGCUAACUCCGUGCCGGC
This 489-nucleotide ribosomal RNA is filed under the name uncultured bacterium. RNAcentral describes it as "bacterial SSU rRNA". It matches the Rfam family "Bacterial small subunit ribosomal RNA", at positions 28 to 512 of the family's 1533-position model. The record is from RNAcentral.